AUUACUCCUACGGGAGGCAGCAGUGGGGAAUAUUGGACAAUGGGCGCAAGCCUGAUCCAGCCAUGCCGCGUGAGUGACGAAGGCCUUAGGGUUGUAAAGCUCUUUUGGCGGGGACGAUAAUGACGGUACCCGCAGAAUAAGCCCCGGCUAACUUCGUGCCAGCAGCCGCGGUAAUAAU
This 178-nucleotide ribosomal RNA is filed under the name uncultured bacterium. Its description in RNAcentral is "partial 16S ribosomal RNA". It matches the Rfam family "Bacterial small subunit ribosomal RNA", at positions 332 to 526 of the family's 1533-position model. The record is from RNAcentral.